Molecule: transfer RNA, 81 nt
Filed under: Neurospora tetrasperma FGSC 2508
Lineage: Eukaryota; Fungi; Ascomycota; Sordariomycetes; Sordariales; Sordariaceae
Description: tRNA-Leu (AAG) (tRNA-Leu-AAG-3-1)
Rfam family: tRNA
About the family: Transfer RNA (tRNA) molecules are approximately 80 nucleotides in length. Their secondary structure includes four short double-helical elements and three loops (D, anti-codon, and T loops).
Source: RNAcentral
GGCUAGAUGGCCGAGCGGUCUAAGGCGCCACGUUAAGGCCGUGGUCCGAAAGGGCGUGAGUUCGAAUCUCACUGUUAGUCA